AACGCGAAGAACCUUACCAGGUCUUGACAUCUGUAGAACCCUUACGAAAGUAGGGGGUGCCUUCGGGAGCUACAAGACAGGUGGUGCAUGGUUGUCGUCAGCUCGUGUCGUGAGAUGUUGGGUUAAGUCCCGCAACGAGCGCAACCCUUGCUAUUAGUUGCUAACAUUUCGGAUGAGCACUCUAAUGGGACUGCCCGUGACAAGCGGGAGGAAGGUGGGGAUGACGUCAAAUCAUCAUGCCCUUUAUGAUCUGGGCUACACACGUGCUACAAUGGAUGGUACAGAGAGCAGCGAGACAGCGAUGUGGAGCGAAUCUCAAAAAGCCAUUCUCAGUUCGGAUUGCAGUCUGCAACUCGACUGCAUGAAGUCGGAAUCGCUAGUAAUCGCGGAUCAGCACGUCGCGGUGAAUGCGUUCCCGGGUCUUGUACACACCG
Molecule: ribosomal RNA, 434 nt
Filed under: uncultured bacterium
Lineage: Bacteria
Description: bacterial SSU rRNA
Rfam family: Bacterial small subunit ribosomal RNA
Source: RNAcentral